Molecule: long non-coding RNA, 974 nt
Organism: Mauremys reevesii (Reeves's turtle)
Lineage: Eukaryota; Metazoa; Chordata; Testudines; Geoemydidae
Exons: 3
Source: RefSeq, a predicted model, not a curated record
CAAUGGCCAGGCAGGACAGGCUGCAGGGCAGGGACGGUCUCCGAGACCCCCGGGGCUUUGCUGCAGCCAGUCUCCUCCCCGGGGUCUCCCCCAGGGACUGAGGGAGGAUUCAGGUUCAGGGACGUGAGCGCGAGGCCGGAGGAGCCUCUUCGGAGUUUCCCCCUGUCCCACGACUGAUGUAGCCUGAACACAGACGUCCCUGCUGAGACGCUCAGAGCCUCAGAGCGGCUUGGAACCUGCGCAGCCUGAGCCAUCUGGUGCCGGCCAAAUUCUAGGCCUGGGAAACGCUAGGUGAAGGGUAACAAUCCUCUCAGACCUUUGGGGAGGUGUGACGAUCCGUUUGAGUGUCACUCGUAGCCGGGUAUAAUAUGAGGUGUCCUAUCAUGGGCUCUAAAUGAACUGUAUCCAUUAAGGACGGGACCGUGGCGUCGUUGCAGACUGAGCAGUGGGCAGCAGUGGCUGGAAAAGCAAAGGAGAUGCUGGGAUGCGCACGAAUGCACAGGCGCAGGAACUAGGGGUGCAGCUGCACCCCCGGGGUUCACUGUGAAAAGUUUGCUGGUGCUGCUAGGAGGAAGCUGGCGUUAUUCUGUGACUCCUGGAGCUGUGCUGCUCCUGUGUGGUGUGAGCGGGAAUUGCACUGUCUGACAUUCCUUUUGGACACGCACACGGUUUACAGUUUCCUUAGCUGCCUUUCAGCCCCCCACUAUAAAAAGUGUUCCAGGGCCACUGCCAGAAUGGGAUGGAGAAUAUCACCGAAAGCAAACACAAGGCCUUAGCUGCUCCGCCUCCCCCGGGUGCCGUCUGCAGGGCUAGUCGGCCCCUCUCAGACAGGACAUUGCAGAACUGGCGGUGAGUGACCAAGGGCCUGGAAACACGCUCCUAGGAGCGGAGAUUGAAAGGACGGGAUUGUGACAUUCGAAAGGAGGUGAAUAAGAGGGGGCGAGGCAGACGUCUAGAAUACACUGAAUGGUACA